Paramuricea clavata is the source of this 577-nucleotide non-coding RNA. The record is from the annotation of a GenBank genome assembly. Lineage: Eukaryota; Metazoa; Cnidaria; Anthozoa; Malacalcyonacea; Plexauridae.
GUCCAGGGCUUCCACGUCUAUGUCUCCCAAUGUUAAUGCUCGACUUCCAACUUUGAUUUUCUUUUUAGGGUCAAUGACAGGUAUAUCUGGCGGGCAGGGGCAACAGCAACAACAGUGCCCUCCAGGAAAACAAUCGUAGUAAUAGCAACUCUCUAAGGAACAGUCAUAACAGUAGCCAGGCUCAGGGUUUUCUUUAUGGUAAAAUGCCUUCUGUAAUCUCCACCUGUAGGAAAAAAUUCCAAGUAGAACGAGUAACUGUUCUUUUCAUCGUUAGAGAAACGAAAAUAAACUCGGGAAAGGGGGGAGGGUAAAGCACUUUUAUCCUGCAGUUAAUUUGACUAUAGUUUUGCUAAAUCGAUUAUGCUAAACCUGCCGGAAAAGUGCAGGCUAUGUUGUCCGCGCGGGUAUUCUCCUCUUGGAAAAUAUUUAAAUCUAGAGUUUCUGAGGCAGGCUUUGAAGUGCCAUUUUCUGUGUCUUGGACGUCUUACUGCAUAGGGUCAGGAUAAUCAUAAAUAAAACAAAUUUCAAAAUAAAAAUCAUAAAUAAAAAAAACUUCAAAACUAAAUUUAAGUCCCCA